Molecule: ribosomal RNA, 116 nt
Filed under: Corynebacterium sanguinis
Lineage: Bacteria; Bacillati; Actinomycetota; Actinomycetes; Mycobacteriales; Corynebacteriaceae
Description: partial 16S ribosomal RNA
Rfam family: Bacterial small subunit ribosomal RNA
Source: RNAcentral
ACACCCGAAGCCAGUGGCCUAAACCUGUUAGGGAGCUGUCGAAGGUGGGAUCGGCGAUUGGGACGAAGUCGUAACAAGGUAGCCGUACCGGAAGGUGCGGCUGGAUCACCUCCUUU